CCGUCAUUAGCGCAGUCCGGUAGCGCAUCUGGUUUGGGAUCAGAGGGUCAUAGGUUCAAAUCCUAUAUGACGGACAA
This 77-nucleotide transfer RNA is filed under the name Aeromonas phage PX29. RNAcentral's name for it is "tRNA-Pro". It matches the Rfam family "tRNA". From Rfam's summary of the family: Transfer RNA (tRNA) molecules are approximately 80 nucleotides in length. Their secondary structure includes four short double-helical elements and three loops (D, anti-codon, and T loops). Lineage: Duplodnaviria; Heunggongvirae; Uroviricota; Caudoviricetes; Pantevenvirales; Straboviridae. The record is from RNAcentral.